Long non-coding RNA from Dromiciops gliroides (monito del monte), 418 nucleotides. RefSeq lists it as uncharacterized. The transcript is spliced from 3 exons. NCBI's taxonomy places the organism in Eukaryota, Metazoa, Chordata, Mammalia, Microbiotheria, Microbiotheriidae. The record is from RefSeq and is a predicted model, not a curated record.
GGGGCACUCACUGGUCUCAGCUCCAAAAUAACUCAGCAGAAAAGAGUUUUCACCUAAAAAAAAUCCCCACGAAUGUCUCCCAGGGAAGAAAUAUAGCUCCCAUAAUUAAAGGAGGCAGCGGCCAGAGGGGGAAUGCAGCCGGCAACCAAAAAAAAAGGCCACAAUGAGAAUCAUAUUUGGCAUGGAGAGGCAGGCUUUCAACUUUAUUUCACUCAAGGUAUACUUUGAAGCAAUUUUUACCCAGAGGAGUGAAAGACCUUCAGACCAAACUCCCUCCCAUUUAUUGGGAGGUGAAAGGAAUGGGCUUAGGGUGGUGUUAGUAGAUGAUCAAAACCAAAUACACAGAGAGGUGAGACACCGUGUUCUGGCAUGGAGGUUGUAAAAAGCAGGGGCUUAACAUUUUCAGAACUGGAGAAAA